ACGGGUGAGUAACGCGUGGGUAACCUGCCUCAUACAGGGGGAUAACAGUUAGAAAUGACUGCUAAUACCGCAUAAGCGCACAGUGAUGCAUGGCACAGUGUGAAAAACUCCGGUGGUAUGAGAUGGACCCGCGUCUGAUUAGCUAGUUGGUGGGGUAACGGCCUACCAAGGCGACGAUCAGUAGCCGGCCUGAGAGGGUGAACCGGCCACAUUGGGACUGAGACACGGCCCAAACUCCUACGGGAGGCAGCAUG
Molecule: ribosomal RNA, 254 nt
Filed under: uncultured bacterium
Lineage: Bacteria
Description: partial 16S ribosomal RNA
Rfam family: Bacterial small subunit ribosomal RNA
Source: RNAcentral